This 496-nucleotide ribosomal RNA is filed under the name uncultured bacterium. Its description in RNAcentral is "partial 16S ribosomal RNA". It matches the Rfam family "Bacterial small subunit ribosomal RNA", at positions 29 to 507 of the family's 1533-position model. The record is from RNAcentral.
AUGAACGCUGGCGGCGUGCCUAAUACAUGCAAGUCGAGCGAACGGACGAGAAGCUUGCUUCUCUGAUGUUAGCGGCGGACGGGUGAGUAACACGUGGAUAACCUACCUAUAAGACUGGGAUAACUUCGGGAAACCGGAGCUAAUACCGGAUAAUAUUUUGAACCGCAUGGUUCCAAAGUGAAAGACGGUCUUGCUGUCACUUAUAGGUGGAUCCGCGCUGCAUUAGCUAGUUGGUAAGGUAACGGCUUACCAAGGCAACGAUGCAUAGCCGACCUGAGAGGGUGAUCGGCCACACUGGAACUGAGACACGGUCCAGACUCCUACGGGAGGCAGCAGUAGGGAAUCUUCCGCAAUGGGCGAAAGCCUGACGGAGCAACGCCGAGUGAGUGAUGAAGGUCUUCGGAUCGUAAAACUCUGUUAUUAGGGAAGAACAUAUGUGUAAGUAACUGUGCACAUCUUGACGGUACCUAAUCAGAAAGCCACGGCUAACUACGUG